AUGGAGUAUCUCGGCGGGGAAACCCUCAGCGAGCAGCUGGACGUGGUGUGCGACUGCGGCCACGGCUUCUGCAUCGUCUGCGCCGAGGAGUCGCACCGGCCGGUGCCGUGCCGCACGGUGCGCGACUGGGCGGCCAAGAACAGCUCCGAGUCGGAGAGCACCAACUGGGUGAUGGCCAACACCAAGCUGUGCCCCAAGUGCCGGCGCCCCAUCGAGAAGAACACGGGCUGCAACCACAUGACCUGCCGGGACCCCUGCCGCCACGAGUUCUGCUGGAUCUGCCUCGCCGACUACCGCGUUGGCCACACCUGCAACCGCUACGAGGUCGACGAGAUCGACGCCCGGCAGGCCUACGCCAGGGCCUCCCUCGACCGGUACAUGCACUACUACGAGCGCUGGGUGACGCACGAGCACUCGCGGGUGAGGGCCAGCGAGGACAUGUUCGAGCUGGAGAGCGCCAGGGAGGGCUACCUCGAGGGCGCUGCCGCCGACGAGGCGCAGAGGCAGCUCGGCUUCCUCAUCGACGCCUACCGGCAGAUCCUCGAGGGCCGGCGGAUGCUGAGGUGGACCUACGCGUACGGCUACUUCGCCGACAGGGACAAGCUCAACCUCCUCGAGUGCCUCCAGGGCGAGGCCGAGGACUCGCUGGAGCGCCUCCACAAGAUGGCCGAGGCCGAGCGCACCGCCGACGAAAACUACUACGCUGCCGACGGCGGCGUCUCGUCCUACUUUGACAGGCUCGCCAAGCUCACCAAGCAGACCCACGAUUACUUAGAGAGCAUGGCUGAAGCUUUCCAAACCGAUCUCGACUAG
RNAcentral lists this ribosomal RNA (813 nucleotides) under Triticum aestivum (bread wheat). RNAcentral's name for it is "partial small subunit ribosomal RNA". The record is from RNAcentral. Lineage: Eukaryota; Viridiplantae; Streptophyta; Magnoliopsida; Poales; Poaceae.